This 69-nucleotide transfer RNA is filed under the name Diospyros oleifera. RNAcentral's name for it is "tRNA-Ile". The record is from RNAcentral. Lineage: Eukaryota; Viridiplantae; Streptophyta; Magnoliopsida; Ericales; Ebenaceae.
GUCACGAUCAUAAAGGUUGAAUCCAGAUAAUGCAUCUGGGAAGCGCCGGUUCGAAUCCGGCUCGUGACU